AAUAGAUACCCUGGUAGUCCUGGCCGUAAACGAUGUCGACUAGAUCGUGGUGGCUCUGACGCCUUCACGGUCGAAGCAAAAGUGCUAAGUCGACCGCCUGGGAAGUACGGUCGCAAGGCUAAAACUCAAAGGAAUUGACGGGGGCUCACACAAGCGGUGGAGCAUGUGGUUCAAUUCGAAGCAACGCGCAGAACCUUACCUGGGCUUGACAUGCCAGGAUUAUCCCCAUGAAAGUGGGGUAGGCCCUUCGGGGUACAACUGGUACAGGUGCUGCAUGGCUGUCGUCAGCUCGUGUCGUGAGAUGUCGGGUUAAGUCCCUUAACGAGCGAAACCUUUGCCCUUAGUUACCAUCGGGUUAUGCCGGGGACUCUAAGGGGACUGCCGGUGUCAAACCGGAGGAAGGUGGAGAUGACGUCAAGUCCUCAUGGCCUUUAUGCCCAGGGCCACACACGUGCUACAAUGGCGUCCACAAAGCGAACCGAGAGCGCAAGCUGGAGGAAAUCGCACAAAUGACGCCCCAGUUCAGA
RNAcentral lists this ribosomal RNA (527 nucleotides) under uncultured bacterium. RNAcentral's name for it is "bacterial SSU rRNA". It matches the Rfam family "Bacterial small subunit ribosomal RNA", at positions 777 to 1297 of the family's 1533-position model. The record is from RNAcentral.